This 462-nucleotide ribosomal RNA is filed under the name uncultured bacterium. RNAcentral describes it as "bacterial SSU rRNA". It matches the Rfam family "Bacterial small subunit ribosomal RNA", at positions 355 to 825 of the family's 1533-position model. The record is from RNAcentral.
UGGGGAAUAUUGGACAAUGGACGAAAGUCUGACGCAGCGACGCCGCGUGGGGGAUGAAGGUCUUCGGAUUGUAAACCCCUUUCGGGAGGGAAGAUGGAGUGGGUAACCACUUGGACGGUACCUCCAGAAGCAGCCACGGCUAACUUCGUGCCAGCAGCCGCGGUAAUACGAAGGUGGCAAGCGUUGUUCGGAUUCACUGGGCGUACAGGGAGCGUAGGCGGUUGGGUAAGCCCUCCGUGAAAUCUCCGGGCCUAACCCGGAAAGUGCAGAGGGGACUGCUCAGCUAGAGGAUGGGAGAGGAGCGCGGAAUUCCCGGUGUAGCGGUGAAAUGCGUAGAGAUCGGGAGGAAGGCCGGUGGCGAAGGCGGCGCUCUGGAACAUUUCUGACGCUGAGGCUCGAAAGCGUGGGGAGCAAACAGGAUUAGAUACCCCAGUAGUCCCUGAGCGGGCUGGCAAGGCGCAU